RNAcentral lists this long non-coding RNA (2052 nucleotides) under Homo sapiens (human). Its description in RNAcentral is "HSALNT0344759". Lineage: Eukaryota; Metazoa; Chordata; Mammalia; Primates; Hominidae. The record is from RNAcentral.
GCGGGGUGAGCGCGCCGCCGUCACCGCGCUCCGCUGAAUCCGCGUUUCCGGGAUUUCUCUGUAGGUGAGGCGGGAGGCUGGAGGGAGCUGAGCCCCCGGGGAGGGGGCCCGAUUCCGCCUCGCCGCGCCUCUGGCUGCUGGGCCGUGGGUUUUUCUCUUCUCCUGGGAGUAAGGAGGACGACGGCCCCUAACCCCUGAAUUAGCCUUCUAUUUCCAUUAGUGACUUAGAAGCUACCCGGCGCCUCAUCUGGGCUCACCUGAGCUGAGGAUCAGGAAGGGGAGGGGGCACAGUCAUUCCCUCGCGGACGCGGCGGGACCCCAGCGGACGGCUUUGUGCGGACUUUCGGCACCGUUAUGCCCCCCUAGCCCGACACCACCUGGGGCUGGCGCGCCACGUUACUGUUCAGGGCCAGACGCACCGCCCUGCCUGCUCCGGGGAGCCGGACCUCCGAUCCCGGGGAUGGGGGACCCCGAGACCUCAGACCCAACGGAGGGGACUCUGAUACCUCAGACCCCACGCGGGGACCCCGAGGCUUCAGACCCCCACAGGGUGACCCCGAGAUCUCAGACCCCCGCAGGAGUACCUCCAGACCUCAAAUCCCCAGUAAGGGAAUGAAAGAGACUUCGGAUCCCUGAGGCAGCAAAUCCCUGUAGGGGCAUCCCAGGACUCAGGUCACCGCGGGGUGAACCCAGACCUCACAUUCAGGCAAUCCCCAGGACGCCGAUCGGCUGGCACUACCCACUGUCCCGGCCACCCCCCCUGGAGCUCAAAGGCUUGGCCCUCCAGCUGCUCCACCCUGCCGGCAACCAGGCUCAAACCUGCAGCCCGCGGAUCCCCUGCCCCGGAAGCAACCAGAUUCGCGGGAGGUUACCUGACUGAUCCAAGGUGAUACAGCUGGUAACUGAUGGAGAUGUUGGUAGUGAAAUUCAUGUACUUUUAGUUCUUUCUAUGGAAUCUAGAGGUAGAAUACAUGUAAAAGAAUAUCGACUACCGUCUACUCAGGUCUCUGUUUUAUCUGUUUAUUCAUUCACUCUCAGCUUUUAAUAGGAUCCAAUGAGCCCUCUGUGGUUCUGAAGAAUUGCCUUGAGUAUAUGCAGCCUCAAAAAACCCACUUCCUAGGCUCAGUCUUUGAUCAAUAUUUAUCAUUAUCACCAGUUAUUGUUCUAAUAAACUCUACUCUGGAAAUAUGGUGUUAUGGUUUACUUGGGAGUGUGAGUUCAGGGCAUCAUUGAAGACUCACGUACUUUUACUGAGAAAGUGACAUUGAUCUCUGUAGAUUUUGAAUUAAAUGAUAUGAUGAAGUAUAUAAACCAAUUACUUUUGGUCAAGGUGGUAAAAAAAGUUUAGUAUUUGAUAGAUUCUUCAUCUCCACGAUCACAAAUAUUUUCUCCUAGGAUUUCUUCUAGAAAUAUUACUGCUUUAGGUUGUAUAUCAGGUCUAGGUUCUACUUUUUUUUUUUUUUUUCUCCAGGCAGUUUCUCACUCCGUUGCCCAGGCUGGAAUGCAGUGGUGUAAUCACAGCUCACUGCAGCCUCAACCUACUGGACUCAAAGGAUAAGAUCUGCUUUUAAUUAAUUUUUGUAUACGAUGGAGUCUUGCUCUGUUGCCAGGCUGGAGUGCAGUGGCAGGAUCUCAGCUCCCUACAAUCCCUGCCUCCCGGGUUCAAGCGAUUCCCCUGCCUCAGCCUGCUGAGUAGCUGGGACUACAGGCACACACCACCAUGGCUGGCUAGUUAUUGUAUUUUUAGUAGAGAUGAGGGUUCACCAUAUUGGCCAGGAUGGUCUCCAGCUCCUGACCUCGUGAUCUACCCGCCUCAGCCUCCGAAAGUGCUAGGAUUACAGGAUAAGCCACCAGGCCCAGACAUAUUUUUAAUUGACUAUUUAAGUAGACCUUGGUAAUAACUGCUUUUCUGUUUUUCACUGCAUACUAGCAGGCAAGGGCAAUUUUUUAGCCAGCCAAUACCGCAUUGAUUCUUGUAAGUCAGUGGCUAUUGCAAAAUUAACCCUUGUGGGUUAAAAAUAGAUUUAAAAUGUAAAGAUGAACAUGUAAUAU